This 229-nucleotide unclassified non-coding RNA is filed under the name plant metagenome. Its description in RNAcentral is "partial contains small subunit ribosomal RNA, internal transcribed spacer 1, and 5.8S ribosomal RNA". The record is from RNAcentral.
UCUCCGUAGGUGAACCUGCGGAGGGAUCAUUACAGAGUUCAUGCCCUACCGGGUAGAUCUCCCACCCUAUGUUAUUAUUACUUCGUUGCUUUGGCGGGCCGUUAGGCUCCGGCCCGACUACCGGCCCCGGCUGGUAAGCGCCCGCCAGAGGACCCAAAACCCUGAAUAUUAGUGUCGUCUGAGUACUAUAUAAUAGUUAAAACUUUCAGCAACGGAUCUCUUGGUUCUG